Molecule: ribosomal RNA, 741 nt
Filed under: Planococcus halocryophilus
Lineage: Bacteria; Bacillati; Bacillota; Bacilli; Caryophanales; Caryophanaceae
Description: bacterial SSU rRNA
Rfam family: Bacterial small subunit ribosomal RNA
Source: RNAcentral
CUGCUCAGGACGAACGCUGGCGGCGUGCCUAAUACAUGCAAGUCGAGCGGAACCAGAGGAGCUUGCUCCUUCUGGUUUAGCGGCGGACGGGUGAGUAACACGUGGGCAACCUGCCCUGCAGAUCGGGAUAACUCCGGGAAACCGGUGCUAAUACCGAAUAGUUUGCGGCCUCUCCUGAGGCUGCACGGAAAGACGGUUUCGGCUGUCACUGCAGGAUGGGCCCGCGGCGCAUUAGCUAGUUGGUGGGGUAAUGGCCUACCAAGGCGACGAUGCGUAGCCGACCUGAGAGGGUGAUCGGCCACACUGGGACUGAGACACGGCCCAGACUCCUACGGGAGGCAGCAGUAGGGAAUCUUCCGCAAUGGACGAAAGUCUGACGGAGCAACGCCGCGUGAGUGACGAAGGUUUUCGGAUCGUAAAACUCUGUUGUGAGGGAAGAACAAGUACCAACUAACUACUGGUACCUUGACGGUACCUCACCAGAAAGCCACGGCUAACUACGUGCCAGCAGCCGCGGUAAUACGUAGGUGGCAAGCGUUGUCCGGAAUUAUUGGGCGUAAAGCGCGCGCAGGCGGUCCUUUAAGUCUGAUGUGAAAGCCCACGGCUCAACCGUGGAGGGUCAUUGGAAACUGGAGGACUUGAGUGCAGAAGAGGAAAGUGGAAUUCCAUGUGUAGCGGUGAAAUGCGUAGAGAUGUGGAGGAACACCAGUGGCGGAAGGCGACUUUCUGGUCUGUAACUGA